CUGCAGCUCGAGUGGUGAUCACUAUUAUUGGGCCUAAAACGUCCGUAGCCGGUCUUAUAAAUGCCUGGGUAAAUCGUGCCGCUUAACGGUACGAAUUCCGGGUAGACUGUAAGACUUGAGACCGGGUGAGGCUAGAGGUACUCCUGGGGUAGAGGUGAAAUUCUGUAAUCCUAGGGGGACCACCAGUGGCGAAGGCGUCUAGCUAGAACGGGUCUGACGGUGAGGGACGAAGCCCUGGGGCACAAACCGGAUUAGAUACCCGUGUAGUCC
This 270-nucleotide ribosomal RNA is filed under the name uncultured archaeon. Its description in RNAcentral is "partial 16S ribosomal RNA". It matches the Rfam family "Archaeal small subunit ribosomal RNA", at positions 477 to 747 of the family's 1478-position model. The record is from RNAcentral.